RNAcentral lists this ribosomal RNA (281 nucleotides) under uncultured bacterium. RNAcentral describes it as "partial 16S ribosomal RNA". It matches the Rfam family "Bacterial small subunit ribosomal RNA", at positions 123 to 406 of the family's 1533-position model. The record is from RNAcentral.
AAUCUGCCCAGUCGUGGGGGAUAACGUAGGGAAACUUACGCUAAUACCGCAUGCGCCCUUCGGGGGAAAGCCGGGGACCUUCGGGCCUGGCGCGAUUGGAUGAGCCCAUGUCGGAUUAGCUAGUUGGGGGGGUAAAGGCCCACCAAGGCGACGAUCCGUAGCUGGUCUGAGAGGAUGAUCAGCCACACUGGAACUGAGACACGGCCCAGACUCCUACGGGAGGCAGCAGUAGGGAAUAUUGGACAAUGGGCGCAAGCCUGAUCCAGCCAUGCCGCGUGUGU